RNAcentral lists this transfer RNA (49 nucleotides) under Cardamine hirsuta (hairy bittercress). Its description in RNAcentral is "partial tRNA-His". Lineage: Eukaryota; Viridiplantae; Streptophyta; Magnoliopsida; Brassicales; Brassicaceae. The record is from RNAcentral.
GCGGAUGUAGCCAAGGAUUAGGCAGGGGAUUGUGAAUCCACCAUGCGCG